This 253-nucleotide ribosomal RNA is filed under the name uncultured bacterium. RNAcentral's name for it is "partial 16S ribosomal RNA". It matches the Rfam family "Bacterial small subunit ribosomal RNA", at positions 524 to 776 of the family's 1533-position model. The record is from RNAcentral.
UACGUAGGGGGCGAGCGCUGUCCGGAAUCAUUGGGCGUAAAGCGCGUGUAGGCGGCCCGGUAAGUCCGCUGUGAAAGUCCAGGGCUCAACCCUGGGAUGCCGGUGGAUACUGUCGGGCUCGAGUCCGGAAGAGGCGAGUGGAAUUCCUGGUGUAGCGGUGAAAUGCGCAGAUAUCAGGAGGAACACCAAUGGCGAAGGCAGCUCGCUGGGACGUGACUGACGCUGAGACGCGAAAGCGUGGGGAGCAAACAGG